CCUCCCACCCUUUGUUUAUACAUACCUUUGUUGCUUUGGCAGGCCCGGCUUCGGCCCACCGGCUCCGGCUGGUCCGCGUCUGCCAGAGGAAACCCAAACUCUGUUUGUUAAUAUUGUCUGAGUACUAUAUAAUAGUUAAAACUUUCAACAACGGAUCUCUUGGUUCUGGCAUCGAUGAAGAACGCAGCGAAAUGCGAUAAGUAAUGUGAAUUGCAGAAUUCAGUGAAUCAUCGAAUCUUUGAACGCACAUUGCGCUCCCUGGUAUUCCGGGGAGCAUGCCUGUUCGAGCGUCAUUACAACCCUCAAGCUCUGCUUGGUAUUGGGCCUCGCCGGUUCCGGCGGGCCUUAAAAUCAGUGGCGGUGCCAUUCGGCUUCAAGCGUAGUAAUUCUUCUCGCUUCGGAGACCCGGGUGCGUGCUUGCCAGCAACCCCCAAUUUUUUCAGGUUGACCUCGGAUCAGGUAGGGAUACCCGCUGAACUUAAGCAUAUCAAUAAGCGGAGGAAAAGAAACCAACAGGGAUUACCUCAGUAACGGCGAGUGAAGCGGUAACAGCUCAAAUUUGAAAUCUGGCCGCAAGGUCCGAGUUGUAAUUUGUAGAGGAUGUUUCGAGCAUGGUCUGGCCUAAGUUCCUUGGAACAGGACGUCAUAGAGGGUGAGAAUCCCGUAUGCGGUCAGGUGCCUACGCUCAUGUGAAACUCCUUC
This 702-nucleotide ribosomal RNA is filed under the name [Candida] sp. DBVPG 5884. RNAcentral's name for it is "eukaryotic LSU rRNA". The stretch from base 446 to 702 matches the Rfam family "Eukaryotic large subunit ribosomal RNA", at positions 1 to 258 of the family's 3401-position model. Lineage: Eukaryota; Fungi; Ascomycota; Saccharomycetes; Saccharomycetales. The record is from RNAcentral.